This 465-nucleotide ribosomal RNA is filed under the name uncultured bacterium. RNAcentral's name for it is "partial 16S ribosomal RNA". It matches the Rfam family "Bacterial small subunit ribosomal RNA", at positions 28 to 507 of the family's 1533-position model. The record is from RNAcentral.
GACGAACGCUGGCGGCGUGCUUAACACAUGCAAGUCGAACGGAAAGGCCCUGCUUGCAGGGUACUCGAGUGGCGAACGCGUGAGUAACACGUGGGUGAUCUGCCAUGCACUUCGGGAUAAGCCGGGGAAACUGGGUCUAAUACCGGACAGGAGCCGGAAUCAGCGUGAUGGUGGGCAAGUUUCUUCGGUGUAGGAUGAGCGCGCGGCCGAUCAGCUUGUUGGUGGGGAAAUGGACUACCAAGGCGGGGACCGGUCACCCGCCUGAGAGGGUGGACGGCCACACACGCAGUGAGAGACGGACCAGACACCUACGGGAGGCAGCAGUGGGGAAGAUAGCACCAUGGGCGCGAGACUGCUGCAGCGACGCCGCGCGGGGGAUGACAGACUUCGGGUUGGAAACUCACUUCGUUAGGGAGGAAGCAUUUUAUGACGGUACCUAGAGAAGAAGCACCGGCUAACUACGUG